CCCGUUGUGGUGCAGUGAAAACGAAUCCGACUAGGAACCAUGAGAUUGCGGAUUCGAUCCCUGGCCUUGCUCAUUGGGUUAAGGAUCUGGCGUUGCUGUGGCUGUGGCAUAGGCCGGCAGUAACAGCUCUGAUUAGACCCCUAGCCUGAGAACUUCCACAUGUCAUGGGUGCGGCCCUAAAAGGAUAAAAAUAAAAUAAAAUAAAAUAAAAUAAAAUAAAAUAAAAUAAAAUAAAAUACACUAACAAAACCUCGAUAAGCUCAUCUUGUCAUGGAUUGGAGACAUAAUUGGGUCAAGUUCAUAAAUGAGUCAAGUUCAUGUGUUCACCAAGUAGGCAUAAACUAUAUCCAUGAUGAGCUGGUGUUGUGCAUGGGAUUAAGGGGCUAAGGUGCCCUCCCCAGAGUAAUGCCAAUUAAUCAUUUUCAUCCCUAUUAAAAUUGGGGACUGAACCUCUGUAAAGUCCAAACAUUUACCAACCAACUCAGUUGACUGCUGCCUUGACAGCUAAGCUGAUCUUUGCUUUUUGAUUUCUUAAUCUGAAAAAUAUGAGAAAUUGUUUAGCUCACUGGAGGAGCUAUUAGGAAUGUUUUUAUUGCUCCUAAGGUGUGGUGUCUUAGAAACCUCAAGGCCCAGUGGUACACGCAGUACAUAAGACAGGGCAGCAGGAACCCAGAUUUCUAGGCCUGUCUCUGCCAGCAUCCAGCUGUGUGACUUUGGACUCAUCACCUCACCCUUCUGGGCUUAACGCUGAUAGCAAGUGAGUGUUCCUUCCAUGUCUAAUACAUCAAAGAUGGAGAGAUGCUUGGAGCAUCAGAGUUUCAAUCUUCUGUCCGCAGAGAAGCUUCUUCCUCUCACUUAAGGCCAUUUUAACCUUUCUCUCACCAGAUUCUAGGCUGUUUGGCUGUUUCAUCCGGAUCUGUCAAGAAGGCACCAGGAAAGACCAUUCCCAGACUGGAAGCCAAGGGCAACCCUGGAAUUGUGAGACCCAAAGCCCAGGGCCCAUCACCUACAAGGAGAAUGAAGACCCAUGACUUGGCCUAUAAGGUCUUCAAUCAUCUGACCGACCACCUGAUGAAGAGUUUCAGCUAUACUUGGAAGGUCAGAUUGAGGCCAGAUCCUGAUGGACCUUGAAUGCCGGGUUGAGGAGCUU
This 1150-nucleotide long non-coding RNA is filed under the name Sus scrofa (pig). RNAcentral describes it as "lncRNA (ENSSSCG00005022127.1)". The record is from RNAcentral. Lineage: Eukaryota; Metazoa; Chordata; Mammalia; Artiodactyla; Suidae.